GUCUUGUCAGUGAUGUUUUUUUAAAAAAAUGUCUGAACUUAUGAAAAUACACUGAUUCCACGUCUUAACUGAGACGAGAC
Molecule: small nucleolar RNA, 80 nt
Filed under: Lepisosteus oculatus (spotted gar)
Lineage: Eukaryota; Metazoa; Chordata; Actinopteri; Semionotiformes; Lepisosteidae
Description: Small nucleolar RNA SNORD72
Rfam family: Small nucleolar RNA SNORD72
About the family: snoRNA HBII-240 belongs to the CD family of snoRNAs.
Source: Rfam by way of RNAcentral